Long non-coding RNA from Spinacia oleracea (spinach), 1432 nucleotides. RefSeq lists it as uncharacterized. The record is from RefSeq and is a predicted model, not a curated record. Lineage: Eukaryota; Viridiplantae; Streptophyta; Magnoliopsida; Caryophyllales; Amaranthaceae. The transcript has 2 exons.
UGCGUUGGGUUGACCCAUUUAAUUAAACGGGUUGAAAAUCUUGACCCAACCCUUUAUUAUUGGGUUGGGUUCGGGUUGGGUUGGUGGGUUGGGUCAAUUUUUGCCAGCUCUAUCCACAGGGAGGCUAAAGAAAGUCUAGGAAAAGGAGAUUUCACGCGAACUUCAACAUGUAUUAUAUUACACGAGUAGUCAGGGUAACAAAACUUUUUGCUUUUGGUGUUUUUGGCCUUUUUUUAGUGGAAUCAUUUUUAUUGAUGAGUCUUACAGGAUUCGUAAAGGUGAAAAGACCAGAUAAACUUCCUACAUGACAUAUAAUAAAUAGGUUGGUCUCUUUUUCUUGCUUGUUUGCAGAUCAUUCCCAGCUCUUUGGGUUCAUCAAGUGGUAGAUUGAGUUUAAAGUCUGGUUCAAAAUGUACCCGUUGAUGAUAUUGUUGUUGUUGGUGAGAAGAGAAACUCUUCUGGUUUAUAUUCCAGUCAAGGGAGUUCAUCCCAAUCAAGUUUUCCUACAUCAAUGGGUGAUAUGCAAGAACAUAUGAGAAAGCAGAUGAAGAUCCUGCCAUGAGAACAGUGUUAUCUUUGAUGUUGAAAAUUAUGAGCCCAUAUAUGAUGGCCAGCUUGAGUGAGCAAUUAAUUUGGCCUUAAGCUUUCAAAGAAGACGUUGUAAAAGCUCAAAAAGCCAUGUCAACAUUGUCACCUGAAGAUCUGGAUAAAAUGAUACUUUAUGUUUCUAUCCACUUUCUCUAGUUGUCAAUCUUGAAUCAGUAGGUUUCUAGAGAGAGGGGAUCUCCCUUCUCUCUAAAAACCCUAGCCCCCAAAUUACAGAAAAAUUCCCAGCCCCUUUUCCUGAUAAACUUCUUCAGUUAUCUGAAAGCCGCAGCCGUCGUUGGUUUCUUCCAUCGUCUCGCCCCGAUCUUUUAUCAGUUGUUCCGAUCUCGAUCCUCUCCUUGUUGUUGGUGGUUUUCUUUAACCGUCCCGCCACCUCUUUUGUUUUGACCGAUCUCUCUUCACCGAUGAUCUUCCGGGAAGACAGAUCUUUGACCCAGUCGGUGGAUUCGCCGCCGAUGCUGCCCCGUCUGCGAUGGGUUGUUCCGUUGAGUUUUUGAUGAUGGGUUUCUCGAUGAAGGGUAGUCGGUGCCUGUUUUUGACCGGUCUUCUCUUCGUCGGUGAUUGCGAUGUCUUAUCGCCGCCGUGUGGUUUGUUGGUGCCGCCGCCUUCGUUUCUGUCUUUGGUGGUCAUUGAAGAUGCUAGGCCUGGCUUCCUCUAGAAGCCUGUAGUUUAUUAUUAUUAUUUCUUUUUUAGUUUAUUUCCUGUAUUUUGUUUUGUUUUUAGUUAUGUUGUUUUAUAUUUCCCUUUAUCUAUUGGUCUUUCCCUGAGAUAGGGAGACCAUAGAUAUGUGUACCUUUCCUUAUUUAAAAAAAAAAAACUUUCUCUA